AAAUUGAAGAGUUUGAUCAUGGCUCAGAUUGAACGCUGGCGGCAGGCCUAACACAUGCAAGUCGAGCGGAAACGAGUUAUCUGAACCUUCGGGGAACGAUAACGGCGUCGAGCGGCGGACGGGUGAGUAAUGCCUAGGAAAUUGCCCUGAUGUGGGGGAUAACCAUUGGAAACGAUGGCUAAUACCGCAUGAUGCCUACGGGCCAAAGAGGGGGACCUUCGGGCCUCUCGCGUCAGGAUAUGCCUAGGUGGGAUUAGCUAGUUGGUGAGGUAAGGGCUCACCAAGGCGACGAUCCCUAGCUGGUCUGAGAGGAUGAUCAGCCACACUGGAACUGAGACACGGUCCAGACUCCUACGGGAGGCAGCAGUGGGGAAUAUUGCACAAUGGGCGCAAGCCUGAUGCAGCCAUGCCGCGUGUGUGAAGAAGGCCUUCGGGUUGUAAAGCACUUUCAGUCGUGAGGAAGGU
This 465-nucleotide ribosomal RNA is filed under the name Vibrio alginolyticus. RNAcentral's name for it is "bacterial SSU rRNA". It matches the Rfam family "Bacterial small subunit ribosomal RNA", at positions 1 to 452 of the family's 1533-position model. Lineage: Bacteria; Pseudomonadati; Pseudomonadota; Gammaproteobacteria; Vibrionales; Vibrionaceae. RNAcentral also lists the same sequence under 2 other names. The record is from RNAcentral.